UGUUUCGGCUAGGGGGCCAUCCCGGCUUACCAACCCGAUGCAAACUGCGAAUACCGGAGAAUGUUAUCACGGGAGACACACGGCGGGUGCUAACGUCCGUCGUGAAGAGGGAAACAACCCAGACCGCCAGCUAAGGUCCCAAAGUCAUGGUUAAGUGGGAAACGAUGUGGGAAGGCCCAGACAGCCAGGAUGUUGGCUUAGAAGCAGCCAUCAUUUAAAGAAAGCGUAAUAGCUCACUGGUCGAGUCGGCCUGCGCGGAAGAUGUAACGGGGCUAAACCAUGCACCGAAGCUGCGGCAGCGACACUCAGGUGUUGUUGGGUAGGGGAGCGUUCUGUAAGCCUGUGAAGGUGUGUCGUGAGGCAUGCUGGAGGUAUCAGAAGUGCGAAUGCUGACAUAAGUAACGAUAAAGCGGGUGAAAAGCCCGCUCGCCGGAAGACCAAGGGUUCCUGUCCAACGUUAAUCGGGGCAGGGUGAGUCGACCCCUAAGGCGAGGCCGAAAGGCGUAGUCGAUGGGAAACGGGUUAAUAUUCCCGUACUUGGUGUUACUGCGAAGGGGGGACGGAGAAGGCUAUGUUGGCCGGGCGACGGUUGUCCCGGUUUAAGCGUGUAGGUGUGUGUUCCAGGUAAAUCCGGUUCACUUUAACACUGAGGCGUGACGACGAGGCACUACGGUGCUGAAGCAACAAAUGCCCUGCUUCCAGGAAAAGCCUCUAAGCAUCAGGUAACAUCAAAUCGUACCCCAAACCGACACAGGUGGUCAGGUAGAGAAUACCAAGGCGCUUGAGAGAACUCGGGUGAAGGAACUAGGCAAAAUGGUGCCGUAACUUCGGGAGAAGGCACGCUGACACGUAGGUGAAGUGAUUUACUCAUGGAGCUGAAGUCAGUCGAAGAUACCAGCUGGCUGCAACUGUUUAUUAAAAACACAGCACUGUGCAAACACGAAAGUGGACGUAUACGGUGUGACGCCUGCCCGGUGCCGGAAGGUUAAUUGAUGGGGUCAGCGCAAGCGAAGCUCCUGAUCGAAGCCCCGGUAAACGGCGGCCGUAACUAUAACGGUCCUAAGGUAGCGAAAUUCCUUGUCGGGUAAGUUCCGACCUGCACGAAUGGCGUAAUGAUGGCCAGGCUGUCUCCACCCGAGACUCAGUGAAAUUGAACUCGCUGUGAAGAUGCAGUGUACCCGCGGCAAGACGGAAAGACCCCGUGAACCUUUACUAUAGCUUGACACUGAACAUUGAGCCUUGAUGUGUAGGAUAGGUGGGAGGCUUUGAAGCGUGGACGCCAGUCUGCGUGGAGCCGACCUUGAAAUACCACCCUUUAAUGUUUGAUGUUCUAACGUGGACCCGUAAUCCGGGUUGCGGACAGUGUCUGGUGGGUAGUUUGACUGGGGCGGUCUCCUCCUAAAGAGUAACGGAGGAGCACGAAGGUUGGCUAAUCCUGGUCGGACAUCAGGAGGUUAGUGCAAUGGCAUAAGCCAGCUUGACUGCGAGCGUGACGGCGCGAGCAGGUGCGAAAGCAGGUCAUAGUGAUCCGGUGGUUCUGAAUGGAAGGGCCAUCGCUCAACGGAUAAAAGGUACUCCGGGGAUAACAGGCUGAUACCGCCCAAGAGUUCAUAUCGACGGCGGUGUUUGGCACCUCGAUGUCGGCUCAUCACAUCCUGGGGCUGAAGUAGGUCCCAAGGGUAUGGCUGUUCGCCAUUUAAAGUGGUACGCGAGCUGGGUUUAGAACGUCGUGAGACAGUUCGGUCCCUAUCUGCCGUGGGCGCUGGAGAACUGAGGGGGGCUGCUCCUAGUACGAGAGGACCGGAGUGGACGCAUCACUGGUGUUCGGGUUGUCAUGCCAAUGGCACUGCCCGGUAGCUAAAUGCGGAAGAGAUAAGUGCUGAAAGCAUCUAAGCACGAAACUUGCCCCGAGAUGAGUUCUCCCUGAGACUUAAAGUCUCCUGAAGGAACGUUGAAGACGACGACGUUGAUAGGCCGGGUGUGUAAGCGCAGCGAUGCGUUGAGCUAACCGGUACUAAUGAACCGUGAGGCUUAACCUU
This 2039-nucleotide ribosomal RNA is filed under the name Salmonella enterica. RNAcentral's name for it is "partial 23S ribosomal RNA". It matches the Rfam family "Bacterial large subunit ribosomal RNA", at positions 911 to 2925 of the family's 2925-position model. The record is from RNAcentral. Lineage: Bacteria; Pseudomonadati; Pseudomonadota; Gammaproteobacteria; Enterobacterales; Enterobacteriaceae.